GAACUGAGCUGGAGGGCUGUGUUCACAUCCUGGAUUGCAAAAAUUAACUGGAUUUUGUCUCCUGAAUUGCUGCAGUGCACCGACUGAUAUCAUGCUGGAAAAAUAACACACUUCAAUGGAUCAAAGGACGGAAGGGAAAGGAUGAGAAGUUCCCUGAGAACUGAGCCCUGGGGCUGCUGCCCCUGAGGAGCAGGGUUUUUCCAAGUGCUGCCCAGCACGGGGAUCCGUGUGCUGGGACAGUGAUUGGCAGGAGGAAGGGGAGCCUUGGCCUCACCUGCCCAGCUCAGGCCAGGACCAAGCCCUGAAUGCAGCCCAGCUCUGCCAAGUGCCCUGGGCUGUGAGCAGCCAAAGGCAAGAGGCUGCAGCCCCGCCGGCCGGCGCUGGGGGCUCCUGGUGCUGUCCGUGGGGUGGGGGAUGCCCAGGACGCUGCUAAUGCCGAGGGAUCUGCUCUGGGGCCAGGCUGUCCGUGCUGGAGGGCCCUGGUGGCUGCAGUCCCUGAGCCCGCAGAGACAGAGAGAGCCCCGGCCCGAGUGGCCUUUGGCACCUUGUCCUGAAUUUGGGGUGAGCCUGGGAGCAUGUGGAAGAUGCUGGAAUUGCCUCUCUGGGUGUGUGCUGAGCUUUGGCUGCAGGGGACUGUCAGGCCUUGGUGGCUCUGUUCCCUGAUGUCCAUUCACUGGCCUGAAUUCCUUGCAGCUCCCAGCUGGGGAAACCUGGGAGAACAUGGCAGGGACAGAGGUGACAUUUGUAGCUGCCAACUUGGGGUAAUUUCGAGGGGACACAGCAACUGUUUCUGUAGGAAAAGGUGAGGUGCUCCAGAAGGGAGGGAGGUGGCGUUUUGGAGGGGUCCCACUGAGGGGGGAGUGGAGAGCCUGGGGCUGGAGUGUGAAUUAUUAAACAGGGAACAAGGGAAGGAUGCUUUGGAGGGAAACACUCAGGGAAUGUGUAGGGAUGGAAUGGAAAUUUGGGGAGUCAGGAAGAGAAAAUGGAUGAUGUAGAGGAAGGGAAAUGUUGGGGGUAAGACUUGAUGUCAUCUGUAGAGAACAGAAUGACCAUUUAGAGGUCAAGUGAGGCAGUCAGUGGUGGGCAGGUAGGGAAAAUUGCUGUUUGUAAAAUUUGAGGUCAUGUGGAGCA
Long non-coding RNA from Corapipo altera (White-ruffed manakin), 1131 nucleotides. RefSeq lists it as uncharacterized. The record is from RefSeq and is a predicted model, not a curated record. NCBI's taxonomy places the organism in Eukaryota, Metazoa, Chordata, Aves, Passeriformes, Pipridae. The transcript has 7 exons.